RNAcentral lists this ribosomal RNA (2755 nucleotides) under Escherichia coli. RNAcentral's name for it is "partial 23S ribosomal RNA". It matches the Rfam family "Bacterial large subunit ribosomal RNA". Lineage: Bacteria; Pseudomonadati; Pseudomonadota; Gammaproteobacteria; Enterobacterales; Enterobacteriaceae. The record is from RNAcentral. RNAcentral also lists the same sequence under 1 other name.
UCCAUAGGUUAAUGAGGCGAACCGGGGGAACUGAAACAUCUAAGUACCCCGAGGAAAAGAAAUCAACCGAGAUUCCCCCAGUAGCGGCGAGCGAACGGGGAGCAGCCCAGAGCCUGAAUCAGUGUGUGUGUUAGUGGAAGCGUCUGGAAAGGCGUGCGAUACAGGGUGACAGCCCCGUACACAAAAAUGCACAUACUGUGAGCUCGAUGAGUAGGGCGGGACACGUGGUAUCCUGUCUGAAUAUGGGGGGACCAUCCUCCAAGGCUAAAUACUCCUGACUGACCGAUAGUGAACCAGUACCGUGAGGGAAAGGCGAAAAGAACCCCGGCGAGGGGAGUGAAAAAGAACCUGAAACCGUGUACGUACAAGCAGUGGGAGCACGCUUAGGCGUGUGACUGCGUACCUUUUGUAUAAUGGGUCAGCGACUUAUAUUCUGUAGCAAGGUUAACCGAAUAGGGGAGCCGAAGGGAAACCGAGUCUUAACUGGGCGUUAAGUUGCAGGGUAUAGACCCGAAACCCGGUGAUCUAGCCAUGGGCAGGUUGAAGGUUGGGUAACACUAACUGGAGGACCGAACCGACUAAUGUUGAAAAAUUAGCGGAUGACUUGUGGCUGGGGGUGAAAGGCCAAUCAAACCGGGAGAUAGCUGGUUCUCCCCGAAAGCUAUUUAGGUAGCGCCUCGUGAAUUCAUCUCCGGGGGUAGAGCACUGUUUCGGCAAGGGGGUCAUCCCGACUUACCAACCCGAUGCAAACUGCGAAUACCGGAGAAUGUUAUCACGGGAGACACACGGCGGGUGCUAACGUCCGUCGUGAAGAGGGAAACAACCCAGACCGCCAGCUAAGGUCCCAAAGUCAUGGUUAAGUGGGAAACGAUGUGGGAAGGCCCAGACAGCCAGGAUGUUGGCUUAGAAGCAGCCAUCAUUUAAAGAAAGCGUAAUAGCUCACUGGUCGAGUCGGCCUGCGCGGAAGAUGUAACGGGGCUAAACCAUGCACCGAAGCUGCGGCAGCGACGCUUAUGCGUUGUUGGGUAGGGGAGCGUUCUGUAAGCCUGUGAAGGUGUGCUGUGAGGUAUGCUGGAGGUAUCAGAAGUGCGAAUGCUGACAUAAGUAACGAUAAAGCGGGUGAAAAGCCCGCUCGCCGGAAGACCAAGGGUUCCUGUCCAACGUUAAUCGGGGCAGGGUGAGUCGACCCCUAAGGCGAGGCCGAAAGGCGUAGUCGAUGGGAAACAGGUUAAUAUUCCUGUACUUGGUGUUACUGCGAAGGGGGGACGGAGAAGGCUAUGUUGGCCGGGCGACGGUUGUCCCGGUUUAAGCGUGUAGGCUGGUUUUCCAGGCAAAUCCGGAAAAUCAAGGCCGAGGCGUGAUGACGAGGCACUACGGUGCUGAAGCAACAAAUGCCCUGCUUCCAGGAAAAGCCUCUAAGCAUCAGGUAACAUCAAAUCGUACCCCAAACCGACACAGGUGGUCAGGUAGAGAAUACCAAGGCGCUUGAGAGAACUCGGGUGAAGGAACUAGGCAAAAUGGUGCCGUAACUUCGGGAGAAGGCACGCUGAUACGUAGGUGAAGCGACUUGCUCGUGGAGCUGAAAUCAGUCGAAGAUACCAGCUGGCUGCAACUGUUUAUUAAAAACACAGCACUGUGCAAACACGAAAGUGGACGUAUACGGUGUGACGCCUGCCCGGUGCCGGAAGGUUAAUUGAUGGGGUUAGCGCAAGCGAAGCUCUUGAUCGAAGCCCCGGUAAACGGCGGCCGUAACUAUAACGGUCCUAAGGUAGCGAAAUUCCUUGUCGGGUAAGUUCCGACCUGCACGAAUGGCGUAAUGAUGGCCAGGCUGUCUCCACCCGAGACUCAGUGAAAUUGAACUCGCUGUGAAGAUGCAGUGUACCCGCGGCAAGACGGAAAGACCCCGUGAACCUUUACUAUAGCUUGACACUGAACAUUGAGCCUUGAUGUGUAGGAUAGGUGGGAGGCUUUGAAGUGUGGACGCCAGUCUGCAUGGAGCCGACCUUGAAAUACCACCCUUUAAUGUUUGAUGUUCUAACGUGGACCCGUGAUCCGGGUUGCGGACAGUGUCUGGUGGGUAGUUUGACUGGGGCGGUCUCCUCCUAAAGAGUAACGGAGGAGCACGAAGGUUGGCUAAUCCUGGUCGGACAUCAGGAGGUUAGUGCAAUGGCAUAAGCCAGCUUGACUGCGAGCGUGACGGCGCGAGCAGGUGCGAAAGCAGGUCAUAGUGAUCCGGUGGUUCUGAAUGGAAGGGCCAUCGCUCAACGGAUAAAAGGUACUCCGGGGAUAACAGGCUGAUACCGCCCAAGAGUUCAUAUCGACGGCGGUGUUUGGCACCUCGAUGUCGGCUCAUCACAUCCUGGGGCUGAAGUAGGUCCCAAGGGUAUGGCUGUUCGCCAUUUAAAGUGGUACGCGAGCUGGGUUUAGAACGUCGUGAGACAGUUCGGUCCCUAUCUGCCGUGGGCGCUGGAGAACUGAGGGGGGCUGCUCCUAGUACGAGAGGACCGGAGUGGACGCAUCACUGGUGUUCGGGUUGUCAUGCCAAUGGCACUGCCCGGUAGCUAAAUGCGGAAGAGAUAAGUGCUGAAAGCAUCUAAGCACGAAACUUGCCCCGAGAUGAGUUCUCCCUGACCCUUUAAGGGUCCUGAAGGAACGUUGAAGACGACGACGUUGAUAGGCCGGGUGUGUAAGCGCAGCGAUGCGUUGAGCUAACCGGUACUAAUGAACCGUGAGGCUUAACCUUACAACGCCGAAG